UCCUACUUUUUUUUUUUUUAAACAUAUAAUGUAUUAUUUGUUUCAGAGGUACAAGUCUGUGAUUCAACAGUGCUCACCACACCCUCCCCAAUGUCUAUAACUUUCUUUAUCAGGAAGAAACUCCAGGAAAAAAAGGAAGGACAUGCGGAAUCACCCAGAGUCCCAGAUCUCUCUCCUGGCUUCACGUGCCUUUGACUGCAUAGCCUUGACUGCAUACCUAAGCUGGACCGUAGGCUAUCGUUAACGUGAACUUGCUUUUGAAAGAAUGAGCUAUACUUCUGGGGUGACAAGGAUGGCAAGUUUCUGAUCUAUAAAGCUGAGAGAAAACUAUGGUCCAAAGACAGAAGUAAAUAUGACUUUGAACUGUCACCUAUCUGCGGGCCAGUCAAUUAGACAGCCUCUUCUGGUAACUCACGGACUUGGCCACGCAUUUAAAUUAACUUCUAACAAAAACCCAUGGUUAUUAGAAAGCAUAUGCUGCUGACAGAAAUGCAAACUGAUAUGCUCUUUCUGGAGGAGACUCUGGCCAACAUCUAACAAAAAUCCUGCUUCUAGGAACCCAUCAAGGAGACACACCUCCAACAACAGGAAAAGCCUAUGCACAAGACUGUUCACUGCAGAGUUCCUACAAAAUUGUGCAAAAGAGAUAAAAUAAUGCAUAUAAAUAAAGCACAA
Molecule: long non-coding RNA, 675 nt
Organism: Zalophus californianus (California sea lion)
Lineage: Eukaryota; Metazoa; Chordata; Mammalia; Carnivora; Otariidae
Exons: 3
Source: RefSeq, a predicted model, not a curated record